Molecule: long non-coding RNA, 2387 nt
Organism: Stegodyphus dumicola
Lineage: Eukaryota; Metazoa; Arthropoda; Arachnida; Araneae; Eresidae
Source: RefSeq, a predicted model, not a curated record
UAUAGCUCUAGCUUGACCGGUAGUUCAAUUUCCGUGAGAAUGGGCUUAUUUUUAUCGAUAUCGUGCCGAAACGCUAGCUUACAGUGUACAAACAAUAUCGAUUACUAUUUAUGCAAUGCGAGGAAAUAUGAUUCAGAUGUCAAGGAUACUGGUAUUGUUUAGUUAAGACGUUAAUGGAUGGAAGUUCAAAUGGAAGUCAGAGAAAUAAAAUGGAAAUUAUCUUUGGUGCAUUAAUUAGCUUUCAUCAGUGAGACAGCUUUAUAAGUAAUUUCAGAAGGCAUAAUUUGAGAUUCAUUGCUCACACAACAAGACGCUUCAGCAGUGGACGACGUCAGUAGACCUUUCCCACGAUUGUACUUGCGAAUUUUGCAAAUACUUUUCAUAUCAUAUUUCCUCUUAUUCUGCUUUUUCGUCAGCAGCUGGAAAAUAUGCUGAACAAUAUAUGAUUUAAGACGUUUACACAUACACAGGAGAAAGUAUUUGGAGUUUUCGGAAUGAGAUAAGUUUAGUAAAUGUUACAAAUUUCCGAAUUUGUGUCACUAUAUGGAGGCAUCACAAAAAAUGGCAAGCAUAAAACGCACGAAUUCUGUGAUUUCGUCUAUGUAUCAUCCAAUAGGUAAUUCGAAAAUCAAGACAGCCUUGUGCAUGUUUGCUGGAGGAGUCAUCUUAGUGUGCUUAGGAGUUGGUCUUAUAGUAACAACAAUCUCCGUGAGACAUCCCUCUGCGGCCAAUAGCCACGUGGAUGAAACUUCUGUCCUUAUUAGCGGGCCAACAUGCCUCGGCCUUGGCAUCAUCAUAUUAGUAAUGAGUGGUACGGAUAUGUGUCGCUAUCGAAAAGCCAGAAACAAUGUGGAAACAGAACUUAACAGAGUUAUCAGCUCCAUGAGCAAACCAAGGCCUAUAUCUUAUAAAAAUCAACAAACCCAGACUGCUAUCAGACCCAUAACUAACCCUAAAGUUUCUAUCGUUAUCAAUAAAACGUUAUGGCCAUCUUAAACCUGUAAAAAACAAAAGGAAAAAUUAGGAAAUGUAUUUACAGAAGCCAUUAUUAUUAUAUUUCCCUAACUGAGAAUAGCGUGUAGGUCUCCGUUAGUACACUUACAAAUCUUGAUCUGUAUUCAAGGCGGAGGGAGUUAAAUUCAGGAAAUUCCCCAAGAAUUGGUGACUGUAAGUUAGUCCUGCUAUCUGAAAUCGAUGAUUUGAAAACGGAUGAAACAUUAAUCAUAACUUCAAAAUUCAUGCAACGGAAAGCAAUAAACUCAUUGGAAGAAAAAUGUUAUAUAUACAUACAGUUGUACCUAGACAUACGAGUUUAAUUCGUUUUGUAACCUUGCUCGUAUGUCAAAUUGCUCGUAUCUCAAAGCAAUUUUCCCCAUUGAUAUUAAUUGAAAUGCCAUUAAUAAUCCGUUCCAGCUCCCAAAACACCACCUCAGUUGUUUUUGUUAAGUUUUUUCGAAUAAGAAAAUGUAUUUACAAGAUGAAAGAUUUAUUUAUAAAUAAUAAAUACAUAUUCUAUAAAAACAUAAUUAAAAGAAAAAGUGAAGCGCUUAACUUUCGUCACUGGUCUUCGCUUUUUUCGUCACGCUUUGCUCAUUUUCACCUGCAGAUCGUUAGAAAAAACUGUCCAAGGAGGUUUGUUUCUUCCUCCCUUUCAGGAUAUUGCGGAAAUGAGUUACGCAAGUUUCGUUGAACAACUCCGGUGCGCGACCAGUUGGGACUUUUUCGGGGGGAUUUUUAUUCACGAACUCAACAACUUUCUCCCACAUUCCCAAGAUCUCCUUUAUAUCUCUUGUAGGGAUAACCUCCUCCAUCUCUGGCUCCUCUUCAAAACUAAUUUUUCGUUGAACCACUGUAUGCUGCUGCGAAUGUAGAUCGUGUAACUGAGAAGGGAGAAACUGUUAGACGCUGCACAUGACAUCAACCUGCGCGCGCAUGUUGCGGUCGUGUGCAGCGGUGUAGUGUGAGAUUCCUCGUAUCUCAAAUCUUGCUCUCAUCUCACAGCAAAAUAUCGCUCGGUCGGCGGCUCGUAUCUCAAAACACUCGUAUAUCGAGGUACCACUGUAUAUACAUAAAGAAGCUUAAUAAGAGGCAAAAAUUAAAAGCAACUUUUUUAAACGCGUCCUAGUCCUAGUACGCGUCUGCUGUAGCUGCAAAAUUGAAGUAAAAUAAACUUAAAGCAUCUAAAUUUAAAAGUAAAUUGGAGUCAAAGCAAGGCAAUUCCUCAACAAUAUUAAUAAUUGCAUCCUUGUAAAGGGGUUAAACAAUAGAAAUAAACAAUUCAAAAUAAAAAUGAUCAUACUAGUACAAUGUCGAAAACUAAAAAUGGAAAAAGGGAACAUAUAUACAAGAUAAUAUAAAAAUAUAAAAAUUAUUCUUCCUUUACUGAA